RNAcentral lists this long non-coding RNA (4011 nucleotides) under Brassica napus (rape). RNAcentral's name for it is "long non-coding RNA (BNAP_LNC012715)". Lineage: Eukaryota; Viridiplantae; Streptophyta; Magnoliopsida; Brassicales; Brassicaceae. The record is from RNAcentral.
CCAACAAUCCACAUUACAAAACAUAAACUCAACUGAUGAACUUUCUAAAUUAAAAUGCUUUCCCUGAAAAAGAAUUUAAUGUCUCUCAAAUCGAAAAUGGAUUCCAAUGUAAAGAACUCCGAGAUUGGUGGUCAUUACCACAUCCUUAAGAUGGCAUCCCGCAUCGUGGAAACAGAGAAGAGAGCAAACGGAAUCACGAACUGAGCAACACCAGUGGCCAUGGAAACUAAUCCAGUGCUCUUGACAGGUGCCGCUUUUGGUGGAGGAGGUAGCUUCUCUACUUUAACAGCGAGCUUCAUGCCUCCAUAACAGCCACCCUUUCCAUCGAGAAGAUAGUAGUGUUUGGUCACGUUGAGAGUGACAAUGUCUCUCCCAGCUCCACGUGUCCAGUUUACGAGAGGAUGGUCGGCGUUACAGUUUUCGUAGUCGGUCUUGUUAACUUCAAGAAUGUUGUGUUGGUUCCUGUCGAACACGAAAUCUAACAAAGAGACCCCCAAAACAAGAUUAGUUAUUAGAACAGAAUAAUAAAUAAAAAAGAUUUUGAUAUGGAAUCAUUGAACCAGCAUUGACCCAUGCUUUGAAUUUGAGUUAUAAUGGAAAUGUAUGAUCAAAGGUUUAAACUUUAACUAGUGUGACAAAGAAAGGUUGCUGUUUUCAGACAAUGGUCGCAGAGAGAGAGAGAGAGAGAAAGACAUGGGUUUACUGUGUCUCAUUCAGACAACCUUAACAUUGUGUUCUAGACCAGAUCUGGACUAAUAAAGAAACAUUUAUUGAAAAAAACCCAAUAAAAGUUGAACUUUAGUAGAAAAUUUGAAACUUUUUUGAAAACAUUACCAGAUUUAAAGUGAAACCCAUUUCAGAAUCAGAUCUAAUGUAAACAGAUCCGAGAGUAUAGACAAUGUAGAGAAAGAGAAGAGGCUGAGAGAGAGAGAGCAUACAGAGCCAGUCUCCGAGGUAGAAAUGCUUUCCCUGAGCCCAGAUGGUAUAGUUGAUGUUUGGAUUCCAAAACUUGUUCUCGCCGACUGUGUACUUCUUCGCCGUCACUUCCGGCACCGCCACUACAAAGGCCAGUACCACUGCCGCAAUCAACACCGUGAAUCUCGCCAUGUUUUUCUCUCUGUCUUGUCUCUCUCUCACUGUAGACUUGUUAGUUGCGCAACUUGUGAUUUAGAGGUGGACUAGACUAGUGGGUUUUCAUAGGAGCCCAUCUUUUUCCUUUUUUCAACGGCUGUUGCUGUAUAAUGAUAAAUAAAUAAAUAAAUUAUUUUAAAAUAGACUAACCAUAAACAUUAAAUCGAAUUCAGAGAUUAGACCAUCUGCAACAGUGGAUUCGGAAAAAAAAAAAAAAAAAAAGAUUCUUAGGGUUUUUUAAUCAACGAUAAAGUUUUUGUGAAAUUAAAAGAAAUAAUUGAUACUAAAUGUAGGCCCAUUAUAGGCCCAACAAUUAAGUUUGUAAGGUAAGUAAAAGGGAAGAGAAGAAAAUGCGAUUGAUUUGGGAUCAUCUUAGGGUUUUCUUCUCUUCUCUCCAAUCAAUGGCGAUACCUCCAGGACUAUACUCCGGCACCAGCUCCCUUGCUCUCGUAUAUCAUCUCUCUCUCUCUCUCCGAUUCGUUUGUUAUGAGUUUGGUUGAUUAAUCUGAGUCUUUUUGAUCAGGUGGCUCGUGCUUCGGCGUUUAGCGUGGGUCUCCUCUACGGGAGCAUGAAGCUCAAGGUCUUGAAGGUAACACUUUCGAAUUUCUGAUUAGUAGUGCUCGUAUCGGCUAAUUGAAUCUGCAAUACAUUACAUUUUGAUGAUUGUGACGUUUUGAAUUGGUUUGGUGGGCAACAUGAUAUUUCGAAAGUUACCGACUUUGAUCAUAGUUCGGUGUGAAAGGAGCAAAGUUUUGUUAAAUAGGGUUUGACUCUUAGUGUGUCUUGUUGUUGUUGGGUUUAAUGCAACAACAAAAGGUUUACUCUUGUUGUUGUUGCUGCAUUGUGUUGUUGGUUCAUGUUGGCAUUUGUUGACAAUUUUUUUUCUUUUCUGAAGGUGGGUGUCUCUAUGUCUUAAAUGUUCUUGAAUCUUACUGUGUGCUAAGUUACGUACUAACUUAUUGUUUUGUUUUUUUCACCUACAGAUGACAAAGAAGCCACACAAGGUUGAAGCUACUGCUCAUCACUAAACCAUUGUUCUGUCUUUACAAUAAGAAACCAAACGCUUGGGGCGGGGAUGUCUUCCCGCCCUGGUUAGCAAUUUUUUUUUUGUAUGAUUCAUCUUUCAUCAUGAAAAAGGAACUAAUAUACUUCAUAGAUCAUUAAUAAAUUAUUUUCUCAAAUGUCUCAAGAACCUGUAUUGUCCAGCAGCAAUUUGAUCUAUUCACCAGUAAUCAGAACAAGAACAAGAGCCUCCCUUGAACUCUUGAAAUCUAUUUCUAUCUCUGAUGAUGAUUUCUCAGUCAUAGAUCUUUGAAACAAUCUUCAUACAUUUCCUCUGAUUCUUGAAGACAAAGUGGUAUCCUCGGUUUUGUUUCCAUAAGCCAGAAACAGACUGCCAGUUUCUCACUCUGACAUCCUAAAGCUUGCUCGGAGUAACCAUGCCGGAGACAUGAGGGACAUAACCAACUGAUCUAAUCCCUUCAAGUUCAUUCAAAUUAGAGUAGAUAUCUUUCCCUUAUCGAGUGUGACCUCUCACGAACUAAACCAAUACAAUGGCCACAUCCACUCGAGGUUUGAUUAAUGGGCCUAUCAUUUCUAGGCUCUCUCUCGGUCUAUUGAUGGGUCAGAGUAACGCAGCGCCUUUUGAAAGAGCUUACAUUUAAGCUUUAGCAAUACAGUUUCUCUUCACACAUACAAGAAAAAGAAGUUUUUCUUAAGCUUAACAAUAGCCAUUGCAAAGAUACCUACAAUCAUACAAGUUGAAGAUAAUAUUUACUUACAGCUGCAGAUUCUUUUCUUCGAGAACCAGAUGUUUCUGGUUUUAUCCACAUUUGGGCAAUAGAUUAAAAGUCACAAAAUCUAAACCGUCGCUGACAAAGACGUACAAUGAGAAAAACAUGUAUAGAUCAUCGUCCAGAAUCUUCAUUGUCUAUCAAAUCUACAAAUCUCAACGUCCCCACCAGUCAAUAUCAUUUUAAAUAUUCUUAUAGGGUCCAUGUGAAAUCUACUCAUAAUCCUAACUAACAUCCCUCUAAACAAAUAUUUAAAACACACAUCAUAUGAAUAUUCGUAUUUUUGUUUCAUAUUACAAAAAAAAAAAAUUUAAUCUAUUCGAUAAUGAAUCUGACAGCUUUGUGAAAGGGGGUACAUGUGGUGGUUGGAUUUGUUACAAUUCACAGAUAAACCCACAUGGAACAGAUGAGCCAUAAUCCAGAUACACACACUGUUUUUACCAUUAGUUCAACUGAUUCUUCUUCUUUUUCACUGACCAGAUUAGAUUGAUAUUAAACCAAACAAUUACAUACAGCCAAUUCAUUCACUUCCCACAAAAGGAAAAAGAAGGAAGAGAAUUUUCGGAUCUUCAAUGAAAGUUUUAAACCAUUAAUUAAUCUCAAGUAAAUCAAAUUCAACUUUUUUUUCAACAAUUAAUUCAAAGACACAAACAAAACAAAAGAUUAAAACCCAACAAUCCACAUUACAAAACAUAAACUCAACUGAUGAACUUUCUAAAUUAAAAUGCUUUCCCUGAAAAAGAAUUUAAUGUCUCUCAAAUCGAAAAUGGAUUCCAAUGUAAAGAACUCCGAGAUUGGUGGUCAUUACCACAUCCUUAAGAUGGCAUCCCGCAUCGUGGAAACAGAGAAGAGAGCAAACGGAAUCACGAACUGAGCAACACCAGUGGCCAUGGAAACUAAUCCAGUGCUCUUGACAGGUGCCGCUUUUGGUGGAGGAGGUAGCUUCUCUACUUUAACAGCGAGCUUCAUGCCUCCAUAACAGCCACCCUUUCCAUCGAGAAGAUAGUAGUGUUUGGUCACGUUGAGAGUGACAAUGUCUCUCCCAGCUCCACGUGUCCAGUUUACGAGAGGAUGGUCGGCGUUACAG